UACAUAUGUUAUUAUUGUUGUUAUAUAUUAUUCUGUCUUUUACCUCUGCUCUAUCUUGUUUCCUUCUAAUGAACCUGGAACUGCAGAGUAAAUAUUGUUGUCUCUGUGUCAGAUGGCUUGUUUUGUUCCUGGACUCUUCAGUGAUGAUGAGCAGAGUCUGAGUGAACCUGCUUUCAGACAAUCACUAUUGCACACCAAAUGCUCUUACUCAGCAGAUGGGGACAGCUACCAUCACCCAAUUUUCAACCAAAAGUGGCUGCGCUAUGCGCCAGACCGGGCAGGAGGGACUGGACGACAACUUAUGCAGGCAUCAGAUGACAAUGAAGUGUAAAUAAA
This is a long non-coding RNA of Carassius gibelio (silver crucian carp), 336 nucleotides long. RefSeq lists it as uncharacterized. The transcript is spliced from 3 exons. Lineage: Eukaryota; Metazoa; Chordata; Actinopteri; Cypriniformes; Cyprinidae. The record is from RefSeq and is a predicted model, not a curated record.